This 492-nucleotide ribosomal RNA is filed under the name uncultured bacterium. RNAcentral's name for it is "partial 16S ribosomal RNA". It matches the Rfam family "Bacterial small subunit ribosomal RNA", at positions 29 to 507 of the family's 1533-position model. The record is from RNAcentral.
AGUGAACGCUGGCGGUAGGCCUAACACAUGCAAGUCGAACGGCAGCACAGUAAGAGCUUGCUCUUACGGGUGGCGAGUGGCGGACGGGUGAGGAGUACAUCGGAAUCUACUUUUUCGUGGGGGAUAACGUAGGGAAACUUACGCUAAUACCGCAUACGACCUACGGGCGAAAGCAGGGGAUCUUCGGACCUUGCGCGAUUGAAUGAGCCGAUGUCGGAUUAGCUAGUUGGCGGGGUAAAGGCCCACCAAGGCGACGAUCCGUAGCUGGUCUGAGAGGAUGAUCAGCCACACUGGAACUGAGACACGGUCCAGACUCCUACGGGAGGCAGCAGUGGGGAAUAUUGGACAAUGGGCGCAAGCCUGAUCCAGCCAUACCGCGUGGGUGAAGAAGGCCUUCGGGUUGUAAAGCCCUUUUGUUGGGAAAGAAAAGCAGCAGGUUAAUACCCCGCUGUUCUGACGGUACCCAAAGAAUAAGCACCGGCUAACUUCGUG